This 265-nucleotide ribosomal RNA is filed under the name uncultured bacterium. RNAcentral's name for it is "partial 16S ribosomal RNA". It matches the Rfam family "Bacterial small subunit ribosomal RNA", at positions 333 to 594 of the family's 1533-position model. The record is from RNAcentral.
UAGAACCUACGGGACGCAGCAGUGAGGAAUAUUGGUCAAUGGGCGAGAGCCUGAACCAGCCAAGUCGCGUGAAGGAUGACGGCCCUACGGGUUGUAAACUUCUUUUGUCAGGGAGCAAUUGAGUCCACGCGUGGGCUUAGCGAGAGUAUCUGUAGAAAAAGCAUCGGCUAACUCCGUGCCAGCAGCCGCGGUAAUACGGAGGAUGCGAGCGUUAUCCGGAUUUAUUGGGUUUAAAGGGUGCGUAGGCGGAAUAUCAAGUCAGCGG